AUUGACCGCUGGCGGCAGGCUUAACACAUGCAAGUCCAGCGAGCGGCGGACGGGUGAGUAAUGUCUGGGAACCUGCCUGAUGGAUGGGGAUAACUACUGGAAACGGUAGCUAAUACCGCAUACCAUCAGAUGUGCCAAGAUGGGAUUCUCUCGUAGGUGGGGUAAUGGCUCACCUAGGCGACGAUCCCUAGCUGGUCUGAGAGGAUGACCAGCCACCCUGGAACUGAGACACGGGCCAGACUCCUACGGGAGACAGCAGGGGGGAAUAUUGAACGAUGGGCGCAAGACUGAUGCAGCCAUGCCGCGUGUGUGAAGAAGGCCUUCGGGUUGUAAAGCACUGUCAGCGAGGAGGCGUUACUCGCAGAAGAAGCACCGGCUAACUCCGUGCCAGCAGCCGCGGUAAUAC
This 406-nucleotide ribosomal RNA is filed under the name uncultured bacterium. RNAcentral describes it as "partial 16S ribosomal RNA". It matches the Rfam family "Bacterial small subunit ribosomal RNA", at positions 30 to 526 of the family's 1533-position model. The record is from RNAcentral.